This is a long non-coding RNA of Dalotia coriaria, 2674 nucleotides long. RefSeq lists it as uncharacterized. The record is from RefSeq and is a predicted model, not a curated record. NCBI's taxonomy places the organism in Eukaryota, Metazoa, Arthropoda, Insecta, Coleoptera, Staphylinidae. The transcript has 2 exons.
GUGCCGAUCGUUGGUUGGGUCAGGCGUGUUUCUCGCGGCUGUUAUAUUUUAUUUUGAGCUUGUAAUAAGGUAUAUCGCAUUUUAUUAUUCUUUAUCGACUACAUUUAGCUAUUAUUGACGUGUUUAGUGUUUUAUUACAAAGGCGUUAAUAACAUAUAGUGUAAACUCUUUAAAACGAUACUUACUGAGAUUAGUUGAUUUAAGAACGGAUUUUACUCAACCCGUUAUUUGCCACAACACCAAUCUUCUUGUAUAUAUUUCGAAGUCAUUAUCAAAAAAGGUUAUAAGUGUUUACAAUGUAUGGCACAUUUAAUCGCUUCACGACUGUUGCUGAAAACUAGCGGAGUUGUCUCUGUAUUUCUUGUUGGUGCACUGUUGGCAUCUCUAGAGAUGUCAAAUUAAAUUCUCUAUGGGGUUGUAUUAGUUUGUUGCAGAAGUUGCGUCUGCAACAUGUGUAAAUUCGAAGGUGAAAAUUUCAAGAGAAAAAUUGUUGCGGUUUUUUGGUAUAGGUCGCAAAGCGCAGUGUAUAGAGAAGUCGAAUUUGAUUCUCGGCGCGGUUGUCAUUGUUCUUUACAAAAGCUUCGGCUGCAGUGCGCGGUGGUAGAUUGUGUAGGUACGUGUUAUCCUGUCUUCCACAUUUUCUUUCUUUUGAGUCCUUUGCGUUAUAUAUGUAAAAUUAUUAUUUCUAACUGUUAACGGUCUCAAAGACGUACUGUCUUAAGAAACGCAAUUCGAAUUGAAACGCAAUCUAAUAUUUCGUCGAUAAGUUUAUAAUAAUGUAAUUUUAUAAUUAAUGUAUUAAUGUAUAUAUAUAUAUAUAUAUAUACUAGCUGACCCGGCAAACUUUGUUCUGCCUUGCUUUUCACGUGCAAUGCUUGUUCUUCUUCAGUCCUUUCAUUCGCAAUCCUUUGAAUCCUAGUUGCAUUACGGUUUUGUCGGAUAAGAUUUGAUCGUUUUGGUCGCUGCAUGGGAAGCUACGAAGCAUCGCACAAAGAAGAGACGGAGAAAACUCUUUUAGUAUCUUCCAAAAAAGUUUUCACUUCAAAAAAUAUUAAAAAAAGUAUCCUACACUUACUAUGUCCUAUUCAAACAAACACAUCAAUCGGGCAACUUCAACCAACACGUACACACACACUCAGGGGGAAGCUACUAAUCGCACAAUGAGGAGACGUUAUUAGUGCGCUCUUUGUCUCCCGUAGGCUAAACCAUAUAAGCGAAUAUGUUUGUUUCCUUUUAGUGUCGUUUAGUGUUCUCUAAAAGAGUUUUCACUUCAAAAAGUAUCCUAGUAACCUUCUCCAAACAAAAACAUCAACCGGUCAAUUUCAACCCACACCUACAACAUACACACGUCUAUGCUACGAAGCAUCGCACAAAGGGAGACGGGGAUAACAGAAAACUUUGUAUUUGCGUUCUCUUAUUCUCCCGCAAGAUAAUCCAUAUACGCAAAUAUGUUUGUCUCUUUUUAGUGUCGUUUAAUGCCUUUUUAGAAAAGUUUUCACUUCAAAAAGUAUCCUAUUACCAUCUCCUGGCCCUAAGCUACCUCUCCACCAAUUUUUAGCUAAAUUGGAUUAGCCGUUCUUUAGUUAUAAAGGAGUUAACCAACACGACUUUCUUUUAUAUAUAUAGAUGUAUGUAUUAAUGUACGGAAAACCUGCAAAAAUGUCAUUUUUGUGCUUCAAUAUGCUAAUUUUAAGAGGUAUUAUGUGUCCAGCGGACGAACGCAAGGUCCUAGGACAACGGUUCUUGCAUUAGAUUGUAAUAAAUUUGUUUAUCAUUUUCAUGAGUAAUUUGUGCGAUUAGCACACGGGAAUCUUGCAAUAACGUCAUUUUUGUGCUUCAAUGUGCUAAUUUUUGGUUGUUUUAGGAUUCUAGCCAGCCAACGAAAAAUCCUAGGACAGCGAUUUUUUUAUCAGAUUGUAAAUAUUGAAUUGAUUUAUCAAUUUCAUAAUUCAUUUGUGUGGAUAGCACACGGAAUAUCUACAAAAAUGUAAUUUUUGUGCUUAGAUGUGCUAAUUUCUAAUUGUUUUAGGUGUCCAGCGAGCGAACGAAAAGUCCUAGGACAGCAAUUCUUUCAGCAGAUUAUGUCUAGCGGGUAAACUAAAUAUGUCCUAGGACAACGAUCCUUUCAUCAGAUUGUAAGUAUUCAAUUCGUUUAUCAUUUUUGUAAAUAAUUUUCAUGUUUCAUACAAUGGAAAGCCGAUGUCGUAAGACAUCCAUUAUUUCAUGUGAUUCUAAGUGUUCUAGUUAUUUACCAUUGUCAUAUACAAAAUUUGUGUUUAAUACUAAGGUAAGCCACAAAAGUGCUAUUUCACCACAGUACGUUAAUUAAAAAUCCUUUUACCAAAUUUUUUUUGUAAACUUCACCUCAUAACUUGAUAACUUGCAAUAUAUUUGUGAGUUGUAACAGCCCAGGGACGUGCACAACGAAUGAUUUGAGUGAUUCUUUGAGAUGCGCGCGUGGAGUUCGUCGGAUAUGUUUCGGUGACUAUGGACUUACUGUGACUUACUGGAGCUCAAGUUAAAUUUAUGUGUUAGACGUGACUGCAUUUGGAAUCUUCGCGUGGAAUACUAUAGAAGUGCGUAUCAUCAAAUAAAACUUAACUUAACUUUAAAUUUUAAAAUCCUAUAGUUACCUUGUUAUUGCUUCAGUCAAUAAAUAAUAUUUUUAACGAAA